This 514-nucleotide ribosomal RNA is filed under the name uncultured bacterium. RNAcentral describes it as "partial 16S ribosomal RNA". It matches the Rfam family "Bacterial small subunit ribosomal RNA", at positions 28 to 523 of the family's 1533-position model. The record is from RNAcentral.
GACGAACGCUGGCGGCGUGCCUAAUACAUGCAAGUCGAGCGGAUGAAAGAGGAGCUUGCUCCUCUAGAUUCAGCGGCGGACGGGUGAGGAACACGUGGGCAACCUGCCCUGUAGAUUGGGAUAACCCCGGGAGACCGGGGCUAAUACUGAAUAAUCCUUCGGACCUCAUGGUCCGAUGUUGAAAGACGGUUUCGGCUGUCACUACAGGAUGUGCCCGCGGCGCAUUAGCUAGUUGGUGAGGUAACGGCUCACCAAGGCCACGAUGCGUAGCCGACCUGAGAGGGUGAUCGGCCACACUGGGACUGAGACACGGCCCAGACUCCUACGGGAGGCAGCAGUAGGGAAUCUUCCACAAUGGACGAAAGUCUGAUGGAGCAACGCCGCGUGAGUGAAGAAGGUUCUCGGAUCGUAAAACUCUGUUGUGAGGGAAGAACAAGUACCGGAGUAACUGCCGGUGCCUUGACGGUACCUCAUUAGAAAGCCACGGCUAACUACGUGCCAGCAGCCGCCGUAA